AGUUCUUUAGGUUAUUUAGACCGGUAAGUUUACUACUUGCAAGUUCAAGAAUUU
Molecule: transfer RNA, 54 nt
Filed under: Globodera ellingtonae
Lineage: Eukaryota; Metazoa; Nematoda; Chromadorea; Rhabditida; Heteroderidae
Description: tRNA-Val
Source: RNAcentral